Long non-coding RNA from Haliotis rubra (blacklip abalone), 99 nucleotides. RefSeq lists it as uncharacterized. NCBI's taxonomy places the organism in Eukaryota, Metazoa, Mollusca, Gastropoda, Lepetellida, Haliotidae. The record is from RefSeq and is a predicted model, not a curated record. The transcript is spliced from 3 exons.
GAUGGUGUGUGUCUUGAGGAUGGUGUGUGUCUUAGGGAUGGUGUGUGUGUGUCUUGAGGAUGGUGUGUGUCUUAGGUGUGUCUUGAGGAUGGUGUGUCU